AAAGUCGUAACAAGGUUUCCGUAGGUGAACCUGCGGAAGGAUCAUUAAAAGGUAUCUACCCUCCUCUGGUCGUAAAAAAGCCAAAGAGAGAGGUAGUCCCAGAUCAACCACUGUGCGCACAUAUUGAAGUUUUUUUUUGCUUUUGGUAGGCGUCGUUCAAAUUUUUGAACGAUUCUACCAUAAGUGAUGCCCAAUAUCAAUAUAAGCCUCAUUUUGUGACUGAAAUUUUUUAAAUAAAAAAAUACAACUUUCAACAACGGAUCUCUUGGCUCUC
This 274-nucleotide unclassified non-coding RNA is filed under the name fungal sp. RNAcentral describes it as "partial contains small subunit ribosomal RNA, internal transcribed spacer 1, and 5.8S ribosomal RNA". The stretch from base 1 to 47 matches the Rfam family "Eukaryotic small subunit ribosomal RNA", at positions 1785 to 1831 of the family's 1831-position model. The record is from RNAcentral. Lineage: Eukaryota; Fungi.